RNAcentral lists this ribosomal RNA (1175 nucleotides) under uncultured eukaryote. RNAcentral describes it as "bacterial SSU rRNA". It matches the Rfam family "Eukaryotic small subunit ribosomal RNA", at positions 577 to 1799 of the family's 1831-position model. The record is from RNAcentral.
CGGUAAUUCCAGCUCCAAUAGUGCACAUUAAAGUUGCUGCGAUUAAAAAGCACGUAGCCGGAUUUUGGGGUGCCUGUAUCGACCCCACUCAGUAGAGUGGUGUGUUGAACACGGGUGUCCUUUCGCUUGGGUGUAACCUUCGGGUUUCGCUCGGGCAUAUUACCAUGAGGAAAUUGGGGUGCUCAAGGCAUGCGUCUUGCAGUUGAACAGCACAGCAUGGGAUAAUUUUACAUGACGAGUUUCCAUUCUAUUGGUUUCUGGGAACUCGUAAUGAUUAAUGGGGGCGGUUGAGGUCCUUCGUACUCAAGUGUUAGCAGUGGAAUGCUCAGACCACUUGAAGACGAACAAAGGCGAGAGCAAUGGACUUACAUGUUCUCGCCGGUCAAGUACGAUAGCAUGAGGAGAGAAGGCGAUUAGUUACCGCCGUAUUUCAUGCCGUAAACGAUGCCACCUGGGGAUUGGGAAUCCAAGAAGCUUCUCAGGACCCUCCGAGAAAUCAAAGUCAUCAGGCUUCGGGGGAAUUACGCUCGCAAGAGUGAAACUUAAAGGAAUUGACGGAAGGCUGCCUCAAGCUGUGGAGUCUGCGGCUUAAUUUGACUCAACGCGGGGAACCUCACUAGGGCCAGACACAGCAAGGAUUGACAGGUUAAGUGGGCCUUUCAUGAUUCUGUGGAUGGUGGUGCAUGGCCGCUGAAAGUGAGUGAUGUGAGUUGUCUGCUUUAUUGCGAUAACUAACGAGACCUCCGCUGUUAAAUAGUCAGCUUUAGAUUUUUUCUAGAGUAUGGCUUCUUAACGGGACUACUAGUGAUACAGGGGAAGCGGGAGGCUAUAGCAGGUCAGUGAUGCCCUUUUAUGUCUUUGGGCCGCACGCGGACUACACUGGCAACUUCAACGAGUCAACCUGUGCCGAGAGGUAUGGGUAACCUUGUGAAAAGUUGUCGUGACUGGGAUUGGCGAUUGCAAUUGUUCGCCAUGAACGAGGAAUAGUUAGUAAUCGUGUGUCAUAAACGCACGAUGACUAAGACCCCAGCCUUUGUACACACCGCCCGUCGCUCCUACCGAUUGGAUGAUCCGCCGAGUUUUUCGGAUUGUGGCUAUGGUUCCCUUGUGGAGUUCAGCGCUGCGAGAAGUUAUGCAAGGCUAAUUAUCUAGAGGAAGGAGAAGUCGUAACAAGG